AUCUACUGCCAUGCCACCCUAAACACACCCGAUCCAGUCUGAUCUCUGAAGCUAAGCAGGGUCGGGGCUGGUUAGUACUUGGAUGGGAGAACAACUAGAAAGACAGGGUGCUGUAGGCG
Molecule: ribosomal RNA, 119 nt
Filed under: Pteropus alecto (black flying fox)
Lineage: Eukaryota; Metazoa; Chordata; Mammalia; Chiroptera; Pteropodidae
Source: RNAcentral